CCUACGGGCGACUGCAGUGAGGAAUAUUGGUCAAUGGGCGGGAGCCUGAACCAGCCAAGCCGCGUGAGGGAAGAAGGUACAGCGUAUCGUAAACCUCUUUUGUCAGGGAACAAAGGCGGGGACGUGUCCCCGGAUGAGUGUACCUGAAGAAAAAGCAUCGGCUAACUCCGUGCCAGCAGCCGCGGUAAUACGGAGGAUGCGAGCGUUAUCCGGAUUUAUUGGGUUAAAAGGGUGCGCAGGCGGUCUGUUAAGUCAGCGGUCAAAGCCCGGGGCUCAACCCCGGCCCGCCGUUGAAACUGGCAGUCUCGAGUUGGAGAGAAGUAUGCGGAAUGCGCGGUGUAGCGGUGAAAUGCAUAGAUAUCGCGCAGAACUCCGAUUGCGAAGGCAGCAUGCCGGCUCCACACUGACGCUGAGGCACGAAAGCGUGGGUAUCGAACAGGAUUAGAUACCCUGGUAGUC
RNAcentral lists this ribosomal RNA (459 nucleotides) under uncultured bacterium. RNAcentral's name for it is "partial 16S ribosomal RNA". It matches the Rfam family "Bacterial small subunit ribosomal RNA", at positions 338 to 795 of the family's 1533-position model. The record is from RNAcentral.